UACGUAGGGUGCAAGCGUUGUCCGGAAUUAUUGGGCGUAAAGCGCGCGUAGGCGGUUACUUAUGUCGGAUGUGAAAGCCCUCGGCUUAACUGAGGAAGUGCAUUCGAAACUGGGUAGCUAGAGUACUAAAGAGGGUCGCGGAAUUCCCGGUGUAGAGGUGAAAUUCGUAGAUAUCGGGAGGAACACCGGUGGCGAAGGCGGCGACCUGGGUAGAUACUGACGCUGAGGCGCGAAAGCGUGGGGAGCAAACAGG
Molecule: ribosomal RNA, 253 nt
Filed under: uncultured bacterium
Lineage: Bacteria
Description: partial 16S ribosomal RNA
Rfam family: Bacterial small subunit ribosomal RNA
Source: RNAcentral